Molecule: ribosomal RNA, 468 nt
Filed under: uncultured bacterium
Lineage: Bacteria
Description: partial 16S ribosomal RNA
Rfam family: Bacterial small subunit ribosomal RNA
Source: RNAcentral
GACGAACGCUGGCGGCGUGCUUAACACAUGCAAGUCGAACGGAAAGGCCCUGCUUUUGUGGGGUGCUCGAGUGGCGAACGGGUGAGUAACACGUGAGUAACCUGCCCUUGACUUUGGGAUAACUUCUGGAAACUGGGGCUAAUACCGGAUAGGAGCUCCUGCUGCAUGGUGGGGGUUGGAAAGUUUCGGCGGUUGGGGAUGGACUCGCGGCUUAUCAGCUUGUUGGUGGGGUAGUGGCGUACCAAGGCUUUGACGGGUAGCCGGCCUGAGAGGGUGACCGGCCACAUUGGGACUGCGAUACGGCCCAGACUCCUACGGGAGGCAGCAGUGGGGAGUAUUGCACAGUGGGCGGAAGCCUGAUGCAGCAACGCCGCGUGCGGGAUGACGGCCUUCGGGUUGUAAACCGCUUUCGCCUGUGACGAAGCGUGAGUGACGGUAAUGGGUAAAGAAGCACCGGCUAACUACGUG